UGUAUGUAGGCUGGGAGUGUCUGCUGAUCACUUGGAGUGCUGUCCCUUGGAACAGGAGGAGUAAGAUUGAGCACCCCUGCAGUGGACCAUGAGUCGGUAAUGCCCACUGAGGACCUCUGGGAGCCAUGUCAGACGAAUCUGCCUCAGGGAGCGAUCCAGACCUGGACCCGGACGUGGAGCUGGAGGAUGCGGAAGAGGAGGAGGAGGAGGAGGAGGUGGCAGUGGAGGAGUGUGACAGGGAUGAUGAAGAAGACCUGCUGGAUGACCCAUCCCUGGAAGGCAUGUGUGGCACUGAGCAUGCCCAGUUGGGAGAAGAUGGGCAGCAGCCGCCGCGGUGCGCUUCAACUACCUCAUCUCAGUCUGAGCCUUCAGAGCAGCUUAGGCGCCACCAAGGCAAGAACCUAGCCUCCGAGGACCCCAAAAAGAAGAGAGCUCAGAAGCCCUCCCACAUGAGAAGAAACAUACGAAAGCUACUCCGGGAGGAUCAAUUGGAGCCUGUUACCAAAGCAGCACAGCAAGAAGAGUUGGAAAGAAGGAAGCGCCUGGAGCAGCAGAGGAAAGAUUAUGCAGCCCCUAUUCCUACUGUUCCGCUGGAGUUCCUCCCUGAGGAAAUUGCUUUAAGGGCAAGUGACGGUCCCCAACUGCCUCCUCGGGUCUUGGCCCAGGAAGUCAUUUGUUUGGACAGUAGCAGUGGCAGUGAGGAUGAAAAAAGCAGUCGAGAUGAGGUGAUUGAACUGAGCUCUGGAGAGGAGGACACUCUGCACAUUGUGGACAGCAGUGAAUCUGUCAGUGAAGAUGAUGAGGAAGAAGAGAAGGGUGGCACCCAUGUCAAUGAUGUCUUAAACCAGCGUGACGCCCUUGGGCGGGUCCUUGUCAACCUAAACCACCCUCCAGAGGAGGAAAAUGUCUUCCUUGCCCCACAGUUGGCACGGGCUGUGAAACCUCAUCAGAUUGGCGGGAUCCGGUUCCUUUACGAUAACCUAGUGGAGUCUCUGGAGAGGUUUAAGACCAGCAGUGGCUUUGGCUGUAUUCUGGCCCACAGCAUGGGUCUGGGGAAAACUUUGCAAGUGAUCUCUUUCAUCGACGUCCUCUUCCGCCACACGCCAGCCAAAACAGUCCUUGCCAUUGUGCCGGUUAAUACUCUUCAGAAUUGGCUGGCAGAGUUCAACAUGUGGCUUCCACCUCCUGAAGCCCUCCCAGCUGACAACAAGCCUGAAGAAGUCCAGCCUCGGUUCUUUAAAGUUCACAUCUUGAAUGAUGAGCACAAGACGAUGGCAUCUCGUGCUAAAGUGAUGGCUGAUUGGGUGUCAGAGGGUGGCGUGCUGCUGAUGGGGUACGAGAUGUACAGACUCCUCACUCUGAAGAAAUCAUUUGCCACAGGUAGACCGAAGAAAACCAAGAAGCGUUCUCACCCAGUCAUCAUUGAUCUAGAUGAGGAAGAUCGGCAGCAGGAGUUUCGGAGAGGGUGCACCCCUACUUCUCAUAUUAUUGACUAAGAGCAGGCCCUGUCACCCUCUGACUCCGGAUCCUCUUCCCUCCCUAGAGUUUGAGAAGGCUUUAUGCCGCCCUGGCCCUGAUGUAGUAAUCUGUGAUGAGGGACACCGCAUCAAAAACUGCCAGGCCAGCACCUCACAGGCUCUGAAGAAUAUCCGCUCUCGCCGCCGGGUGGUGCUGACUGGGUACCCUCUGCAAAACAACCUCAUUGAGUACUGGUGCAUGGUGGACUUUGUGCGCCCAGACUUCCUUGGCACCCGGCAGGAGUUCAGCAACAUGUUUGAACGUCCUAUCCUGAAUGGGCAAUGUAUUGACAGCACACCUCAGGACGUCCGCCUCAUGCGGUACCGGAGCCAUGUCCUGCACAGUCUUCUGGAGGGCUUUGUGCAGAGGAGAGGCCACACUGUGCUGAAGAUUCAUCUCCCUGCCAAGGAAGAAAAUGUGAUCCUUGUGCGGCUCUCCAAGAUCCAGCGAGAUUUGUACACACAGUUCAUGGAUCGCUUCCGGGACUGUGGUAGCAGCGGUUGGCUGGGGCUGAACCCCCUUAAGGCAUUCUGUGUGUGUUGCAAGAUCUGGAAUCACCCUGAUGUGCUGUAUGAAGCCCUUCAGAAGGAGAGCUUGGCCAAUGAGCAGGACCUAGACGUGGAAGAACUUGGCUCUGCAGGGACCAGUGCCCGCUGUCCACCACAGGGAACAAAAGGCAAGGGAGAGGAUAGCACCUUGGCUUCCUCGAUGGGAGAGGCAACCAAUAGCAAGUUCCUACAGGGCGUUGGCUUCAACCCUUUCCAGGAGCGAGGCAACAACAUUGUCACAUAUGAAUGGGCCAAGGAUCUUCUGACUAAUUACCAGACUGGAGUCCUAGAAAACUCUCCCAAGAUGGUACUGCUUUUCCACCUGAUUGAGGAAAGUGUGAAGCUUGGGGACAAGAUCCUUGUGUUUAGCCAGAGUCUUUCCACCUUGGCUCUCAUCGAGGAAUUCCUUGGAAAACGAGAAGUACCCUGUCCACCUGGUGCCGAGGGGCAAGGAGCACAGAAGUGGGUUAGAAACAUCAGCUACUUCCGGCUAGAUGGUAGCACCCCUGCCUUUGAGAGGGAGCGGCUUAUUAAUCAGUUCAAUGAUCCCAGCAACCUCACCACCUGGCUGUUCCUUCUCUCUACAAGGGCCGGAUGCUUGGGUGUGAAUCUGAUUGGUGCCAACCGAGUGGUGGUGUUUGAUGCUUCCUGGAACCCUUGCCAUGAUGCCCAGGCAGUAUGUCGGGUAUACCGUUAUGGCCAGAAAAAGCCCUGUUACAUCUAUCGCCUUGUGGCUGAUUACACUCUAGAAAAGAAGAUCUAUGACCGUCAGAUUUCCAAGCAGGGCAUGUCAGAUCGGGUGGUGGAUGAUCUAAAUCCAAUGCUGAACUUCACACGGAAAGAGGUGGAAAACCUACUGCACUUUGUUGAGAAGGAGCCAGCUCCCCAAGUUUCCUUGAACGUAAAGGGGAUCAAGGAGUCAGUCCUGCAACUGGCCUGUCUGAAGUACCCUCACCUCAUCACCAAGGAGCCUUUCGAGCAUGAGUCAUUGCUCUUGAACCGAAAGGAUCACAAGCUAACCAAGGCUGAGAAAAAAGCAGCAAAGAAAAGCUAUGAAGAAGACAAACGCACAUCAGUCCCCUAUACCCGCCCAUCGUAUGCGCAGUAUUACCCUGCCAGCGAUCAGAGCCUGACCAGCAUCCCCGCCUUCAGCCAGAGAAACUGGCAGCCAACUUUGAAGGGUGAUGAAAAGCCUGUGGCCAGUGUUCGUCCUGUGCAGUCCACCCCCAUCCCCAUGAUGCCCCGGCAUGUCCCACUGGGAGGAAGUGUAAGCUCUGCCUCCAGCACAAAUCCAUCCAUGAACUUUCCGAUCAACUACUUGCAGCGUGCAGGAGUCCUUGUGCAGAAGGUGGUCACCACGACAGAUAUUGUUAUUCCUGGACUCAACAGCUCCACAGAUGUACAGGCAAGAAUUAAUGCUGGUGAGAGCAUCCACAUCAUCCGUGGGACAAAAGGGACGUACAUCCGUACCAGUGAUGGACGGAUCUUUGCUGUCCGGGCAACUGGCAAACCAAAGGUUCCUGAAGAUGGUCGGAUGGCUGCCUCAGGUUCCCAGGGACCUUCUUGCGAGUCCACAAGCAACGGCAGACACAGUGCCUCAUCACCCAAAGCCCCCGACCCUGAGGGGCUGGCCAGGCCCGUCUCUCCUGACAGCCCAGAGAUCAUCAGUGAGCUUCAGCAGUAUGCAGAUGUGGCUGCUGCCCGGGAAUCCCGUCAGAGCUCCCCAAGCACCAAUGCCGCCCUGCCUGGCCCCCCGGCCCAACUUAUGGACAGCAGUGCUGUUCCCGGGACAGCUCUCGGAACUGAGCCUCGACUAGGGGGUCAUUGCCUCAAUAGUUCCCUCUUGGUGACUGGCCAGCCCUGUGGUGACAGGCACCCAGUGCUGGACUUAAGGGGCCACAAGCGAAAGUUGGCCACACCACCUGCUGCCCAGGAGUCAUCCCGCCGGCGGUCCAGGAAGGGUCAUCUGCCAGCCCCCGUGCAGCCGUAUGAACACGGGUAUCCAGUCUCUGGCGGGUUUGCCAUGCCACCCGUCUCCUUAAACCAUAACCUCACCACCCCCUUCACCUCCCAGGCUGGGGAGAACUCCCUGUUUAUGGGCAGUACCCCCUCCUACUACCAGCUGUCCAAUUUGCUGGCAGAUGCCCGCCUGGUGUUUCCAGUGACUACUGACCCUCUGGUGCCAGCAGGCCCCGUCAGUUCCUCUUCCACGGCUACCUCAGUCACUGCCAGCAACCCCUCCUUCAUGCUCAACCCUUCUGUGCCAGGGAUACUACCCAGCUAUUCACUCCCAUUCUCACAGCCACUCCUGUCCGAGCCGAGGAUGUUUGCGCCUUUUCCUUCCCCUGUCUUGCCCAGCAACCUUUCGCGGGGCAUGUCUAUCUAUCCAGGCUACAUGUCCCCACAUGCAGGCUACCCAGCUGGUGGCCUCCUACGGUCCCAGGUGCCUCCAUUUGACUCUCAUGAGGUUGCCGAGGUUGGGUUCAGCUCCAAUGAUGAUGAGGAUAAAGACGAUGAUGUGAUAGAGGUCACUGGGAAAUAGCUAGGGAGCCCCUCCCCACCUCACUUGGGGCCCCCAGCAGGUUGCCCACCAAGCUGGAAGGCAGUGAUUUAGACCUUUUGAGAAUAGGACACUUGGCAGGAGGGAAAAGGAAGAGGACAAAGGAGGGUGGUUGGCCAAAGUGGCAGAGCUCUGUUGCUGUUUAACAAAAGAGGC
RNAcentral lists this small RNA (4782 nucleotides) under Pan troglodytes (chimpanzee). Its description in RNAcentral is "retained intron". Lineage: Eukaryota; Metazoa; Chordata; Mammalia; Primates; Hominidae. The record is from RNAcentral.